UUUCGAAUUAUACUAUUUCGAAAUUCAAACUCUAAACCCUAAAACUCAACUCUAAACCCUAAACCAUCAAUCCUAAACCCUAUUUUUUUUGAAAUACGAACCCUAAACCCUAAACCAUCAAUCUUAAACACUAUUUUGUUUAAAUACGAACCCUAAACCCCGAAACAUCAACUUUAAACCCUAAACCCCGAAACAUCAACUCUAAACCCUAAACCUUCGACUUUAAACCCUAAAACAUCAACUUUAAACCCUAAACCCUAAACUUAAACUUUAAGCCCUAAACCAUCAACACUAAACCCUAAACUAUCAUCACUAAACCUUAAACCCUAAAAAGUAAACUCUAAACCCUAAACCCUAAAAAAUUAACCCUAAACCCUAAAACAUCAACUCUAAACCCUAAACCUUCAACUCUAAACACUAAAAUUUAAACCCUAAAUCCUAAACCCUAAAUCCUAAACCCUAAACCUAAACCCUAAACCCUAAAACCCUAGAGUUGAUGUUUUAGGGUUUAUAUUUGAAGGUUUAGAGUUUUAGGGUUUAGGGUUUGCGUUUAUGGUUUAGAGUUGAUGUUUUAGGGUUUAGAUUUGAAGGUUUAGGGUUUUAGGGUUUAGGGUUCGAAUAUCAGAAAAGUAUAGGGUUUAGGGUUUACGUUUAGGGUUUAGAGUUGAUGUUUUAGGGUUUAGAUUUGAAGGUUUAGGGUUUAGAGUUGAUGUUUUGGGGUUUAGGGUUUAGACUUGAUGUUUCAUGGUUUAAGGUUUAGAGUUGAUGAUUUAGGGUUUAAAGUUGAUGUUUUAAGUUUAGAUUUAGGGUUUAGGGUUUACGUUUAGGGUUUGGAGUUGAUGUUUUAGGGUUUAGAUUUGAAGGUUUAUGGUUUAGGGUUUAGGGUUUAAAGUUGAUGUUUCGGGGUUUAGGGUUUAGAGUUAUGUUUCGGGGUUUAGGGUUUAGAGUUAUGUUUCGGGGUUUAGGGUUUACAGUUGAUGAUUUAGGAUUUAAAGUUGAUGUUUUAAAUUUAGAUUAGUUAACCAUUUAUUUAUUUUUUUGUCAAAGUUAAUCAAAAUGUUAUAAACGUUUUUUAUCCUUCAUUAAAGGUGAGGAUAAAAA
RNAcentral lists this long non-coding RNA (1101 nucleotides) under Brassica napus (rape). RNAcentral describes it as "long non-coding RNA (BNAP_LNC004703)". The record is from RNAcentral. Lineage: Eukaryota; Viridiplantae; Streptophyta; Magnoliopsida; Brassicales; Brassicaceae.